UAUCCAAAGAAAACUCAAACAAAAAAUCUGUCAUCGUUAAAACUUUACCUUUAAGAGAAGAUAUUGUAUAGUUGUGGUAGAGCGAUAGGCCUUUUUUUUGGUCUACUAUGGUAGAAAGGGAGCCAAUAUUCACGAGGGCCCCUUGAUACAUAUCAUGUUGGUAAAUAAAUUAUAAUUAAAUAAAAAAAUUAUAUUGGUGUAUGUUUAUAAAUUACUAUUGAAACAUUUAAUCUAAAAACUUAAAUAAUACAUAUCGAACAAUGCUAACACCUGCAUUAUUUUAGAAGUUAUAGGUUUUUUUUUUUUUUUUUUUUGGGUGUGAGAGACAUAUUUUAUAAUUACAUAUGAAGGUCAAUUUUAGUGGCUUCUAAUGGGUUGUUCAUUUUAUUAUCCCUUUUUUUAGUAAGUUUAUUUUAUUAUCUUGAACGUUCUUGAUA
RNAcentral lists this long non-coding RNA (437 nucleotides) under Olea europaea subsp. europaea. Lineage: Eukaryota; Viridiplantae; Streptophyta; Magnoliopsida; Lamiales; Oleaceae. The record is from RNAcentral.